This is a non-coding RNA of Acanthosepion pharaonis, 110 nucleotides long. The record is from the annotation of a GenBank genome assembly. Lineage: Eukaryota; Metazoa; Mollusca; Cephalopoda; Sepiida; Sepiidae.
UAUGGCCAUAUCACGUUGAACACCGGUUCGCGUACGAUCGAUGAAAUUAAGCAACAUUCAACCUGGUCAGUACUUAGAAGGGUGACCUUUUGGGAAUACCAAGAGCUGCU